GAAUUCAACUCCUACGGGAGGCAGCAGUGGGGAAUUUUGGACAAUGGGGGCAACCCUGAUCCAGCAAUGCCGCGUGAGUGACGAAGGCCCUAGGGUUGUAAAGCUCCUUUGUGCGGGAAGAUAAUGACGGUACCGCAAGAAUAAGCCCCGGCUAACUUCGUGCCAGCAGCCGCGGUAAUACGAAGGGGGCUAGCGUUGCUCGGAAUCACUGGGCGUAAAGGGUGCGUAGGCGGGUCUUUAAGUCAGGGGUGAAAUCCUGGAGCUCAACUCCGGAACUGCCUUGAUACUGAGGAUCUUGAGUUCGGGAGAGGUGAGUGGAACUGCGAGUGUAGAGGUGAAAUUCGUAGAUAUUCGCAAGAACACCAGUGGCGAAGGCGGCUCACUGGCCCGAUACUGACGCUGAGGCACGAAAGCGUGGGGAGCAAACAGGAUUAGAAACCCGUGUAGUCCAGGCGUU
RNAcentral lists this ribosomal RNA (457 nucleotides) under uncultured bacterium. RNAcentral describes it as "bacterial SSU rRNA". It matches the Rfam family "Bacterial small subunit ribosomal RNA", at positions 328 to 803 of the family's 1533-position model. The record is from RNAcentral.